RNAcentral lists this ribosomal RNA (484 nucleotides) under uncultured bacterium. Its description in RNAcentral is "partial 16S ribosomal RNA". It matches the Rfam family "Bacterial small subunit ribosomal RNA", at positions 30 to 507 of the family's 1533-position model. The record is from RNAcentral.
AUUGAACGCUGGCGGCAGGCCUAACACAUGCCAGUCGAGCGGAUGAAGGGAGCUUGCUCCUGGAUUCAGCGGCGGACGGGUGAGUAAUGCCUAGGAAUCUGCCUGGUAGUGGGGGAUAACGUCCGGAGACGGGCGCUAAUACCGCAUACGUCCUGAGGGAGAAAGUGGGGGAGCUUCGGACCUCACGCUAUCAGAUGAGCCUAGGUCGGAUUAGCUAGUUGGUGGGGUAAAGGCCUACCAAGGCGACGAUCCGUAACUGGUCUGAGAGGAUGAUCAGUCACACUGGAACUGAGACACGGUCCAGACUCCUACGGGAGGCAGCAGUGGGGAAUAUUGGACAAUGGGCGAAAGCCUGAUCCAGCCAUGCCGCGUGUGUGAAGAAGGUCUUCGGAUUGUAAAGCACUUUAAGUUGGGAGGAAGGGCAGUAAGUUAAUACCUUGCUGUUUUGACGUUACCAACAGAAUAAGCACCGGCUAACUUCGUG